UUGGAGGGCAAGUCUGGUGCCAGCAGCCGCGGUAAUUCCAGCUCCAAUAGCGUACAUUAAAGUUGUUGCAGUUAAGAAGCUCGUAGUUGAAUUUCGGGGUCAGUAGGCUGGUCGUGCCUCAGGUACGUACUGGUCUUACUGAUUCCUCCUUCCUGACGAACCGUAAUGCCAUUAAUUUGGUGUUGCGGGGAAUCUGGACUGUUACUUUGAAAAAAUUAGAGUGUUUAAAGCAGGCUAACGCUUGAAUACAUUAGCAUGGAAUAAUGAAAUAGGUCGAUCGAUCCUAUUUUGUUGGUUUCUAGGAUUGACGUAAUGAUUAAUAGGGAUAGUUGGGGGCAUUAGUAUUCAAUUGUCAGAGGUGAAAUUCUUGGAUUUAUUGAAGACUAACUACUGCGAAAGCAUUUGCCAAGGAUGUUUUCAUUAAUCAAGAACGAAAGUUAGGGGAUCGAAGACGAUCAGAUACCGUCGUAGUCUUAACCAUAAACUAUGCCGACUAGGGAUCGGAUGAUGUUAAUUUUUUAAUGACUCAUUCGGCGCCUUACGGGAAA
Molecule: ribosomal RNA, 548 nt
Filed under: uncultured Glomeromycotina
Lineage: Eukaryota; Fungi; Glomeromycota
Description: SSU rRNA
Rfam family: Eukaryotic small subunit ribosomal RNA
Source: RNAcentral